GAGCAUUCAAGCGGCGGCGGCGGCCAAAUCUGAGCUAUUUUGCUGCCCUGCCCCUCGAUGGCUCUCUGAUUGGCAUCUGCAUCGCAUCUCCAUCCUGAGGUAUUCGUAUUUUCCUCCACUUGGUUUUGGUUUGUCCUGAUCUGUUAGAAACCAAUUGAAUGAUCUUCAGUCCGCAAUCCAUAUGUAGAUGGCAUGAGAG
RNAcentral lists this long non-coding RNA (199 nucleotides) under Setaria italica (foxtail millet). RNAcentral describes it as "long non-coding RNA (SITA_LNC000263)". The record is from RNAcentral. Lineage: Eukaryota; Viridiplantae; Streptophyta; Magnoliopsida; Poales; Poaceae.